RNAcentral lists this ribosomal RNA (253 nucleotides) under uncultured bacterium. RNAcentral's name for it is "partial 16S ribosomal RNA". It matches the Rfam family "Bacterial small subunit ribosomal RNA", at positions 524 to 776 of the family's 1533-position model. The record is from RNAcentral.
UACGGAGGGGGCUAGCGUUGUUCGGAAUUACUGGGCGUAAAGGGCGCGUAGGCGGUUAGUUUAGUCAGAGGUGAAAGCCCAGGGCUCAACCUUGGAAUUGCCUUUGAUACUGGCUAUCUUGAGUUCGGGAGAGGUGAGUGGAACUCCGAGUGUAGAGGUGAAAUUCGUAGAUAUUCGGAAGAACACCAGUGGCGAAGGCGACUCACUGGCCCGAUACUGACGCUGAGGCGCGAAAGCGUGGGGAGCAAACAGG